CCUCCUUCUAGGUGGAAAGGCUUGUUGUUGGGCUUUUGCCCAAGGCUGCUCUCCUGGAAGCUUGUACUGACAAAUAUUUAUUAAUUUUAAUGCUAUAAAUCUCCUCAGCAAUAAGAAUCCUAGAUGACAUUUGCAGAGAAAUGAACUUACAGGCAGGCAGCAUCAAGAGGAGAGAUUUACUUUUACUGGAGGGAGGGGAAGGGUGUGCAUAUUUCCUUUCAAUUUCAACCUCUGAUAUGCACGAGUCCAAACCCAAUGAGGAGAAGCCCUGAAAACCCUGGGUCUUUCGCACAAGCUUCAAUUCUGUUUGGCCCCUAAACAAAUACAACAGCUUACUGGAGUUCCUCUCUGUUGCAUUGCUAGAUUCUUAUCAGCAUGAUGAGAGCAGUGAGCUCCCAGCGAGUCCCUACUUUCUAUACAGUCAGGAGACGGAUCAGGUAAACGGAUCAGAUACUGAGCAGUGCAGCAGGAAGGUGAAGGGGACAGAGAAAUCCCAUUCAGGGGUCAGGCUCAGAUCAUAGACCGUCUACUUCUCAGUCCCCGUUCCCCGGCUGUCCCAGGCUAACACAACUCCACCACGGCACAGAAACCUGAGAAGAUGCGGCUUUAGUGACCACGUCAAGAUUCUAGAAGAUCGCACGGCAUGCCCUCCCUCCUAUCAGUCCCCUCCCGAGGACUUAGACGGAUCACGGUCAGAAUGUAAGCUCUGAGGCUGCUGCUUAUCAUUCAGAGUCACGCUACGGCAGGAGGACCUUGAGAGGUCACCUUACAGGGUCCCUUUCCUCCACUUGCCUGAAGGCGAGCCACACGGGGUGAGACACUGUCAUUUUGUAUUACCUUUUUAACGGCAUCAAAUCUCGCCCAGUACAUAUUGGAGAACUUCAGAAAUAUAAUCUGAAUGCCACAUAACCCU
Molecule: long non-coding RNA, 913 nt
Organism: Mustela erminea (ermine)
Lineage: Eukaryota; Metazoa; Chordata; Mammalia; Carnivora; Mustelidae
Exons: 4
Source: RefSeq, a predicted model, not a curated record